This is a long non-coding RNA of Episyrphus balteatus (marmalade hoverfly), 916 nucleotides long. RefSeq lists it as uncharacterized. Lineage: Eukaryota; Metazoa; Arthropoda; Insecta; Diptera; Syrphidae. The record is from RefSeq and is a predicted model, not a curated record. The transcript is spliced from 3 exons.
UUGCUUUUAAAAUCAAAAGUUGAUUUAGUUUGAUUUAAUUAUUUUCUCAAAUUAUUAUUUUUUUUUUUUUCAAAGCUAAACGAUUGUUGUUAAUCAAAAUUUUUUCUGCUUUAAUUUUGAACUUCUUUCACUGAAUUGGAUUACUUUUGUCACGAAGGGAUGCUUUAAAGUUGACGUUGGAGUCACUUGUCGACUCAAAUAAAAAUCGUUGGUUCAAUUGGAUUUGUUCGAUGAUUGUUGGGUUAUACCAAAUCCCUAAAGAAUAAAAUUCAGAGUUAGCUCUACCUAAUUUUGGUUUAAUUAUAUGAUAUAUUUUCGAAUUCUUACCAUUUGGGAUCAAUGAAUAGGAGUCUCUUACAGACACUGGGUCUGAUGUUUUCUUGAAGAACCGAAUCGGACUCGAAUUCAGACUUCUGAAGACGGUGACUCUUCAAGACCAAAGUUAAUUUUUGCUUAACGGUACGGAGAUUCCAGAUUCCAGAAGAUUUCUGUGUCCAGAACACGGAAAGGAACUCUGAAUGACAACCGCCAAUCAGUAUGGAUUUCAAGGCAAAUUCUUAAUAAAAUUAUCCCCCUAAGGAAUGACAUUUUUGGAUUAAACUACCGUUUUUCAUUCACUUCUAGAGAAAUAUCAAGUCUUACCAAUUUUUGGGGAUGGUUCAGAUUUGAGAAUCCUGGGUAUUCGAACCAACUGAUGGUGGCGUUCUAUCGAGCCAAGAUCCUAUGUGGGGUUAAUACAACCCGAUAAAAAAAAAUAAGAAGCAGACUCUGGUGUCUGGUUGCAACCACUGGAUGAAUUUUCAGUUGUUGGGGCGAUGCUGAUUUAUAAAAUUCUUACCUAGUUGGGAAAUUAUUUUCCUGAUUUGGUUUCAGGAUCACUUCAAGACGAGUUUGUCUAAUUUUGGAGUUUCAACCC